RNAcentral lists this ribosomal RNA (254 nucleotides) under uncultured bacterium. RNAcentral's name for it is "partial 16S ribosomal RNA". It matches the Rfam family "Bacterial small subunit ribosomal RNA", at positions 524 to 776 of the family's 1533-position model. The record is from RNAcentral.
UACGUAGGUGGCAAGCGUUGUCCGGAUUUAUUGGGUUUAAAGGGUGCGUAGGCGGCCCUGUAAGUCAGUGGUGAAAUACUCUAGCUUAACUAGAGGGGUGCCAAUGAUACUGCAGGGCUUGAGUACAGAUGAGGUAGGCGGAAUUGACGGUGUAGCGGUGAAAUGCAUAGAUAUCGUCAAGAACACCUAUAGCGAAGGCAGCUUACUGGGCUGUAACUGACGCUGAGGCACGAAAGUGUGGGGAUCAAAACAGG